Acinonyx jubatus (cheetah) is the source of this 862-nucleotide non-coding RNA. The record is from the annotation of a RefSeq genome assembly. Lineage: Eukaryota; Metazoa; Chordata; Mammalia; Carnivora; Felidae.
UACCAUGGACUGGACUCCUCUCCUCCUCAUGCUCCUGUCUCACUGCACAGGCUCCCUGUCCCAGCCUGUGCUGACCCAGCCGCCCUCCUUGUCUGCAUCUCCGGGAACAACAGCCAGACUCACCUGCACCCUGAGCAGCGGCUUCAAUGUUGGAGGCUACUACAUAAAUUGGUUCCAGCAGAAGCCAGGGAGCCCUCCCCGGUAUCUCCUGUACUACUACUCAGACUCAGAUAAGCACCAGGGCCCCGGGGUCCCCAGCCGCUUCUCCGGGUCCAAAGAUGCCUCGGCCAAUGCGGGGCUUCUGUUCAUCUCUGGGCCACAGCCUGAGGACGAGGCUGACUAUUACUGUGCUACAUAUCAUGGCAGUUGUUGGGUGUUCGGCGGAGGUACCCAGCUGAGCGUCCUAGGUCAGCCCAAGUCAGCCCCCUCGGUCGCACUCUUCCCACCUUCCAAUGAGGAGCUCAGCGCCAACAAGGCCACCCUGGUGUGCCUCAUCAGUGACUUCUACCCCAGCGGCUUGACGGUGGCCUGGAAGGCAGAUGGCACCCCCAUCACCCAGGGCGUGGAGACCACCAAGCCCUCCAAACAGAGCAACAACAAGUACGCGGCCAGCAGCUACCUGAGCCUGUCACCGAACCAGUGGAAAUCUCGCAGCAGAUUCACCUGCCAGGUCACACAUGAGGGGAGCACCGUGGAGAAAAAUGUGGUCCCUGCAGAGUGCUCUUAGGUCAAGGGACCCCCACCUACCCCAGGGGGUGUGCAGCCAUUGGACCUACAGGAAGGAUUCCCCUUGCACCAGGAUCAUCCCAGCCCUUCUCCCUUCAAUCAAUGCUCAAUAAAAUGUCCUUUAUUCAAUCAGAAA